GGAAGGUCGGGGUCCAACUCUCUUUGAGAGGUGAUCGUGGAUAUUGUGGUGUUGGGGAAGGUCGGGGUCCAACUCUCUUUGAGAGGUGAUCGUGGAUAUUGUGGUGUUGGGGAAGGUCGGGGUCCAACUCUCUUUGAGAGGUUAUCAUGGAUAUUGUGGUGUUGGGAAGGUCGGGGUCCAACUCUCUUUGAGAGGUGAUCGUGGAUAUUGUGGUGUUGGGGAAGGUCGGGGUCCAACUCUCUUUGAGAGGUGAUCGUGGAUAUUGUGGUGUUGGGGAAGGUCGGGGUCCAACUCUCUUUGAGAGGUGAUCGUGGAUAUUGUGGUGUUGGGGAAGGUCGGGGUCCAACUCUCUUUGAAAGGUGAUUGUUGAUGUGGUGUUGGGC
Molecule: long non-coding RNA, 383 nt
Organism: Mytilus californianus (California mussel)
Lineage: Eukaryota; Metazoa; Mollusca; Bivalvia; Mytilida; Mytilidae
Exons: 3
Source: RefSeq, a predicted model, not a curated record